This is a small nuclear RNA of Jaculus jaculus (lesser Egyptian jerboa), 107 nucleotides long. The record is from Ensembl. NCBI's taxonomy places the organism in Eukaryota, Metazoa, Chordata, Mammalia, Rodentia, Dipodidae.
GUGCUGGCUUCAGCAGCAUAUAUGCUAAAAUUGGAACAAUACGGAGAAGAUCAGCAUGGCCCCUGCUCAAGGAUGACACGCAAAUUCGUGUAGCAUUCCAUGUUUUU